CAUGCAAGUCGAACGGCAGCACAGUAGAGCUUGCUCUAUGGGUGGCGAGUGGCGGACGGGUGAGUAAUGCAUCGGGAUCUACCCAAACGUGGGGGAUAACGUAGGGAAACUUACGCUAAUACCGCAUACGUCCUAUGGGAGAAAGCGGGGGAUCUUCGGACCUCGCGCGGUUGGACGAACCGAUGUGCGAUUAGCUAGUUGGUAGGGUAAAGGCCUACCAAGGCGACGAUCGCUAGCUGGUCUGAGAGGAUGAUCAGCCACACUGGAACUGAGACACGGUCCAGACUCCUACGGGAGGCAGCAGUGGGGAAUAUUGGACAAUGGGCGCAAGCCUGAUCCAGCAAUGCCGCGUGUGUGAAGAAGGCCUUCGGGUUGUAAAGCACUUUUAUCAGGAGCGAAAUGCCAUUGGUUAAUACCCGGUGGAGCUGACGGUACCUGAGGAAUAAGCACCGGCUAACUUCGUGCCAGCAGCCGCGGUAAUACGAAGGGUGCAAGCGUUAAUCGGAAUUACUGGGCGUAAAGCGUGCGUAGGCGGUGAGUUAAGUCUGUUGUGAAAUCCCCGGGCUCAACCUGGGAAUGGCAAUGGAUACUGGCUCGCUAGAGUGUGAUAGAGGAUGGUGGAAUUCCCGGUGUAGCGGUGAAAUGCGUAGAGAUCGG
RNAcentral lists this ribosomal RNA (657 nucleotides) under uncultured bacterium. RNAcentral describes it as "bacterial SSU rRNA". It matches the Rfam family "Bacterial small subunit ribosomal RNA", at positions 54 to 700 of the family's 1533-position model. The record is from RNAcentral.